RNAcentral lists this long non-coding RNA (8089 nucleotides) under Homo sapiens (human). RNAcentral's name for it is "HSALNT0286428". Lineage: Eukaryota; Metazoa; Chordata; Mammalia; Primates; Hominidae. The record is from RNAcentral.
CAGAACUUAAAGUAAAUUUUAAAAAAUAAAAAUAAAAAAUAAAUAUAAAUAUGUAAACAAUAUGGUUCUGGGACACAGUAUAGUAACAGGAACUUUAUGUUGGCAUAAUAAUCCUCAUUCAAUAAGCCUUUUUAGGAGAGUGUAACUGGCCACCAAUUUGAAGGAUUGCUUCUUCAUCCAAGAAAAGAAAUGAGGACAUGUUGUUCUCAUAAAAUGAUGGCUCCAAAUUAUUGUAUCAAGGGGUAGACUGCGUCAGCCUGAAUUUAUACCCCUAUUCUGUUUACACAAGAGGAGUCCUUGGCCUGCCAGACCCUUGGCUGCUUGCUCAAAAGAGAUGUCUGGCUGUCACCACUAUCACUUUGUCUCCAAAUAUCAACAACGCUCAUGGCCUCUCCUGGGCUGAGAUCCAAACUCCCUCCAGCAGAUCCUUCUUUAUGCAGCUUCAGCACAAGGUCUGGCUUUUCCACUUCUUCCAGCCUCAAAUGAAGUGCCAUUCCAUACACUGCAGGAUGUGACUUUCCGUGGAUUACUGGAAAUGGUGAGGUGAAACAAUCUGGAAGUUCAAGAGAGUUAAUCAGCUGAACCAAGGAAAGAGGAAAUUAUGGUUGGGAUGGAUGAAAAAGGUCCACAUACUGGUCCAGGAGGUAAAGUAUCUUAUUUUGCCAACUGUUUGGGCAUCUGUGUGCCCAUUUUUUAUUUGGAAGAUCUAAAUUAAUUUUGUUGCUCAAAAAUCAACCUUUACAAUCUUACACAUUUACCUCUUCCAAGAUAGUGCCUGAGCCUAGAGGGAAGAUGCUUAUAUAGUUUUAGCAGUGGAGCAUUAGCAUUGAAAAUAGAUCGGGCCCAGUGGGAUUCUGAAUAGUUUUAAAUUUCAGAGAUAUUAAGCAGAGAGAGAGUGAAAAAGUAACCUUUGUUGUUUUAUCCAAUUUUGCAAGCUAUGUAUAGAGUUAGUAAUGUUUAAACGAAAGGGACUUAAGCCCUGCCUAGCUCUGACAAUGGCAGGAAAAGAAAACUCACAGGUAACUAAACAUUUAUCUAGUAAGGCAUAGAACAAAUUAUAUUAAGAUAGAUAGAUGAAACAUUAUUCAAUGAUUACUUAUGCCUUUGUAUAUAGGCCUGGUCCAGUGUCACAUGAAAGCAGUUCAUUUUGACUGUCAUCUUCUCCCAGGUCUGAAGAUGGAACUUUGGUCAACUUGAAUUUGAUGCCAGAUAUCAAUAUUGACUAUUAAGAUUCAGUAGGCGUCAGGAUUCCCUUUCAGAUGAGAUACAUGUACCCAGGAGUCAAAGCCCUGCAACUUAACAGCACAAGGGGAGGAACCAAACUGUAGUCUGCGUUUCAAUGGAGUGGAGCUGAGAAGUUCAGUCUCUCGUUGAUUCACACAAGGGACAGUUCAGUUUCUCAAGCAAAUGCACAAACAAGCCAAGUGAGAUUAAUUUGGGGAGAAAGAGGCAAUGGAAAAGAUCCUUCAGAAUGCUUUCUGAAUCAAAAUUAGGAUCCUGAACAACAACUUCCUAGGAAAAGAACCAGCUCAGAAUAAAGCAGAAGACUGUCAACUGAGCAGGAGGUUCAGGGCUGAGGAGGACUUACCAGUUUCACUCAAGAAGAAGCUUGGAGUUGGGGGGCUUUCAAUGGGCCCCUGCUGGUACCUUAGCUCUGGGUUUGGGUGACUCUUUCAGGGUUCUGAGUCUUCUCUGAGGCCCCAUAUGUAGGGUGCCAAUUAAUAUUGACUAAAAAAGCCAAACUGUAACAUAUGUGAAGAGGUUUAUUCUAAGCCAAAUAUGAGUAGCCAUGGCCCAAGGCAUGGUCUCAAGAGGUCCUGAGAACAUGUGCUCAAGGUGGUUGGGCUACAGCUUUCUUUUCUAUGUUUUAGAGAGACAUAAGACAUCAAUCAAUACAUGUGAGGUAUCCAUUGGUUUGGUCUAGAAGGGCAGGACGACUUAAAGCAGGGGAAAGUGGGUGCUUACAGGUCAUAGGAGGAUUCCAAGAUUUUCUGAUUGGCAAUUGCUUGAAAGAGUUAAGUUAUUUUCUAAAGACCUGGAAUCAAUAGAAAAGAAUGACUGGGUUAACAUAAGGGGUUGUGGAGACCAAGGUUUUUAUUACAUAGAUGAAGUCUCAUAAGUGGCUGCCCUUAGAGAUAAUAGAUAGCAAAUGUUUUCUAUUUAGACUUUUAAAAGGUGCUAGAUUCUCAGUUAAUCUCUUCAGGUUUCGGAAGGCCUGGAAGAGGAAAGAUCUAGUUAUGUUAAUGAGAUGCUUUACAGAUGCAAAUGUUUCUCAAUGGCUCUGCAGGUCCAUUUCAAAAUAGGGCCAAAAAACAUACUUUGGGGUAAAAUAUUUUUAUUUCCAUUUUUAUCAUGUGAAGUUAUACUAGAGUCAGGUUGGACUUUGGUAUCUUAUUGCUACAAAGAAUCUGUUUUGUCAGUGUUAAGAUCUGUUUUUUUUCUUUGUUUUUGUUUGUUUGUUUUGAGAAGUGGUCUCACUUUGUCACCCAGGCUGAAAUGCAGUGGCACAAUCUCAGCUCACUGCAACCUCUGCCUCCCAGGCUCAAGCGAUUCUCCUGCCUCAGCCUCCCAAGUUGCUAGGACUAAGGUGUAUGUCACCAUGCCUAGCUAAUUUUUGUAUUUUUGCAGAGACAGGAUUUCACCAUGUUGCCCAGGCUAUUCUUGAACUCCUGACUUCAAGGGAUACGCCCACCUCAGCCUCCCAAAGUGUUGACAUUAUAGGCAUGAGCCACCUCACCAGGCCAAGAUCUGUUUUAAUGUUCAUGCUGGUCAGUUAUGCCUGAAAUCCAAAUGGGAGAGGGUAUAAUGAGGCAUGUCUGACCACCUACUUCCUUCCCUUUAUGGCCUUAACUAGUUUUUCAGGUUUCUUUGGAAUCUCUUUGGCAGAAGUGUGGGAUCCAUUCAGUCAAUUGGGGGGUUAGAAUUGCAUUUUUGGUCAUGAAACUUGACCUUGAAAGUUAUUUUAUGAAUAUGAACCAUUUUCUUUUUUUUAUUAUUAUACUUUAAGUUUUGGGAUACAUGUGCAGAAUAUGCAGGUUUGUUACAUAGGUAUACACAUGCCAUGGUGGUUUGUGGCACUCAUCAACCUGCCGUCUACAUUAGGUAUUUCUUCUAAUGCUAUCCCUCCCCUAGUCCCCCACCACUGACAGGCCCCAAUGUGUGAUGUUCCCCUCCCUGUGUCCACGUGUUCUCAUUGAUCAACUCCCACUUAUGAGUGAUAACAUUCAGUGUUUGGUUUUCUGUUCCUGUGUUAGUUUGCUGAGAAUGAUGGUUUCCAGCUUCAUUCAUGUCCCUGCAAAAGACAUGAACUCAUCCUUUUUUGUGGCUGCAUAGUAUUCCAUGGUGUAUAUGUGCCACAUUUUCUGUAUCCAGUCUAUCAUCAAUGGGCAUUUAGGUUGGUUCCAAGUCUUUGCUAUUGUGAACAUUGCCGCAAUAAACAUAUGUAUACGUGUGCAUGUGUCUUUGUAGUAGAAUGAUUGAUCAUCCUUUGGGUAUAUACCCAGUAAUGGGAUUACUGGGUCAAAUGGAAUUUCUGAUUCUAGAUCCUUAAGGAAUCGACACACUCUUCCACAAUGGUUGAACUAACUUACACUCCCACCAACAAUGUAAAAGCUUUCCUAUUUCUCCACAUUAUCUCCAGCAUCUGUUGUUUCCUGACUUUUUAAUGAUUGCCAAAUACCUAAUGACUUUUUAAUGAUGGCCCCAAAUACCUAAUCCUGAUGGUAAUGGUAUUAAGAGGUAAGGCCUAUGGGAGGUGAUUUGGUCAUGAGGCUCUACCCCCAUGAAUGGGAUUAGUAUCCUUAAAAAUGUGGCCUGAGGGAGCUCUUUUACUUCUACUACCAUAUGAGGACAUAGCUAGAAGGUGCCAUCUUUGAAGCAGAGAUUGAGCCCUCAUUGUUCACCACAUUUUCUGGCACCUUAAUGUUCGAAAUCCCUGACUCCAGGACUCUCAGUAAAUUACGUUUUUAAAAACUACCCAGUCCAAGUUACAUUGUUAUAGCACCCUGAAAGAAUCAAGGUAUAAAUUGAUAGCAAGAAGUGGUGUGCUGCUCUAACAAAUACCUACAAAUGCGGAUGCAGCUUGGGAACUAGGUAAUGGGUAGAGGCCGUAAGAAUGCAAAGGAUCAGGCUAGAAAAAGCCUACAUUUCUGUGAGCAGAGUGUUAAGAGUGAUCUGGUUAUGGCUCAGAAGAGGAGAGCUGUAAACAAUGCCUAAUCUUCUUAGAGAUUUCCUAAGAGGUCAUGAACAGAAUUUUGGUAUAAAUCUGGAUGGUAAAGGCCAUUCUGAUGAAGUCUCAGGUGAAAAUGAGAAAUGUUAUCAGAAACUGGAGGAAAAGCCAUCCCUCUUAUAAAGUGGCAAAUAACCUGGCUGAACUGUGUAUGUAUCCUAGGGCUUUGCAGAAGGUAGAACUUCUGAGCAAUGAUAGUAUAGUUAGUGAAAUAAAUAUCUAAGCAAAGUGUUGAGGGUGUGUUAUGGCCUCUCUUGAAUGCUUGUAGUAAAAUACAAGAAGAUAGAAACAAAUUAAAAAGAAUUUAUAAUCAAAAGGGAAGCAGAAUGUAAAGAUCUGAAAAAUUUUCAGUGUGGCUAUGUUGUGAAGAGUUAAUGAAAAAGCAUAUUCAGAAGAGAAUACUAAAGGUAUGACCAAGCCACCAUUUGAUAAGAAGAUUAGUAGGGAUAGAAGGAAGGCAGAUGCUAUUCUGCAUGACAAUAAGAGAAUGACCCUAAAGGCAUUUCAGAGACCAUCCAGCCUGCCACUCACAUCACAGGCUCAGAAUACCAAACCUGGGGCGUAAAAUGAGGUCAAAAGAGGGACCUUGGGCAUCCAAGGAACCUCAGUGCUUGCUGCCCUGAACUACCUCAAGUCUCUGCUCCCUACAUUCUGGCACAGCAUUUUUCAGCUCCCUCUCUCAUCAGAUGUGUCUCAAAUGGGCCCAGAUGUGGUUCAGGCCACCACUCUAAAGUGCACAGGCAGUAAAAAUCUUGGCAGCAUCAACACAGUGCCAUCUCCACAGGAGCACAGAGCAAAAUGAGCUGUAGAGACAUGGCUACCUCCACCUAUAUUACUAAGGGUACUCCCAGAGAGCUGCAGGGCAUGGACAAAGAUGUCCCACAGGAAUAGGACUACAAUAAAGAGUCACCAUUGGGGCAAUGUCUAUUAAAGCCAUGGAGGGACCACCAUAAAGGCAAAGUCUGGUAAAACCAUGAGGGCAGGGCCAUCCCAGAGACCUCAGAUUGGUAAAGCCACCAGUGUGCAACUCCAGCCUAGGACAACCACAAACACAAGACUCCAACACAUGAGCACUGUGGCACGGGCUAUGCACAGAAAAGUCAUUGGGAAUGGGACCAGUUAAAGCCUUGGGGGCCCAAUCCUCAUCCAAGUGUGUGUGAAAGGCACAACACUGAGUCAAAGAAGAUUAUUCUCCAGCCUUAAGUUUUAAUAUUGUUUGUGCUCUUGGGUUUUAGACUUCCUUGAAACAUAUUACCCCUUUUCCUUUCUUCUCUCUCCCUUAUGGAAUGGGAAUUUCUAACUUAUGCCUGUCCCACCACUGUAUUUUGGAAACAUAAAACUUGUUUAACUUCAAAAGCUCAGAGUAGAAGGGGAAUUUGGCUCAGAAUGAAUGAUACCUUGAGUCUCACCCAAAUCUAACGUAGAUGAUAUUUAGAUGAGACUUUGAACUUUAAACUUUUGAGUUGAUGCAAAAACAGGUUAAGAAUUUGGGGGCUAUUGACGGGCACGGUGGCUCACGCCUGUAAUCCCAACACUUUGGGAAGCCAAGGUGGGUGGAUCACGAGGUCAGGAGUUCAAGACCAGCCUGGCCAACAUAUUGAAACCCCGUCUAUACUAAAAAUACAAAAAUUACCCAGGCAUAGUGGCACACGCCUGUAGUCCCAGCUACUCAGGAGGCUGAGGCACGAGAAUCACUUGAGCCUGGGAGGUGGAGGUUGCAGCGAGCCAAGAUUGCACCACUGCACUCCAGCCUGGGUAACAGAGUGAGACUCCGUCUCAGGAAAAAAAAAAAAAAAAAAAAAAAGAAUUUGGGGGCUAUUAGGAUAGGAUGAAUAUAUUUUGCAUGUGGGAAAGACACAAAUUUGGGGGGCCCAAGGGUGGGAAGGUAUGUUCUAAAAGUCUGUAUCCCCCAAAAUUUAUAUGUUGAAACCUAACCCCCAAGGUGAUAUUAUUAAGAGAUGUAGCCUUUGGAAGCUGAUUAGAUAAUGGAGGGUCAGUCAUACUGAAUGGGAUUAGUUCCCUAAUAAAACAGACGUGAGAGAGCUUGUCACCUCUUCUGCCAUGUGAGCAUAUAGAUAGAAGGUGCCAUCUUUGAAGCAGAGAGUGAGCCUUCAACAGAUAAUGAAUGUGCUGGGGCCUUGAUCUUGGACUUCCCAGACACCACAACUGUGAGCAGUAAGUUUUAUUAUUUAUAAAAGAUUAUAAAUCACCUAGCUAUGGUAUUUUGCUACAGCAGCCUGAAUGGACUAAAAUAAGGCUGAUAUAUUUUACUGAUAAUUUCAAAGAAUCUGUUUAAAAUUCAUUGAUUAUUAAUUUUUGGCUUUCUAUUCCUGUGAUUUCACUUUCAAAAUGAUUGAAUCAAUUCUUCUCAUUUGCUUGGAUUAAUUAUUUGUUUAUUAACAUUUGGUAAGAUUAGUUCAUUCUUUUCGGUCUUAUUACCUUAAUUUUCAAAACUGUUUUAUAUAACACUUGGUUGAGCUUAUGAUAAUAAAUAAAUAAAUAAACAUUUUAAUAAAGUCAUUAAUGGAUAAAGGCUUUCCUCUGAGAAAAGCAUCUGCAGGCAUAAUAGGAUUUGACUUGAUGUAUUUUGCCUUUAAUUAUUCUCUGGAUAUUAUGUAAGUUCCCUUUUUAUUUCCUAUUUGAGUAAAAGAGAAUCUUAAACGUGUUUAUUAAUUUCAGAUUGGAUAAGAUUUUGGUAAUGUUUCUUUACUUCCAAAUUUAUUGAAUAGACAAAUGAUAUGGAUGGAUAAAUGCUUACUAUUUUAAUACAUUAAAUGAUUUUAAGCCAAAAGACUGAUAAACCUAUUAAAAAUUCUCAUUCUUGCCGGGCACAGUGGCUCACACCUGUAAUCCCAGCACUUUAGGAGGCCAAGGUGGGCGGAUCACUUGAGGUCAGGAGUUUGAGACUAGCCUGGCCAACAUGGGGAAACCCCGUCUCUACUAAAAAAUACAAAAAUAGGCCGGCGUGGUGGCAGGCACCUGUAAUCUCACCUACUCAGGGGGCUGAGGCAGGAGAAUCACUUGAACCUGGGAGGUUGGAGGUUGCGGUGAGCCAAGAUCAGGCCACUAUACUCCAGCCUGGGCGACAGAGCCAGAAGUCCAUCUCAAAAAAAAAAAAAAAAAAACAAAACUCAUUCUCUAAUUGUGAGAUGUAAAGUGUUAUAUUUAAUACGUAAAUUGUGUUUAUUGAUUGAAUAAUUCAGUUCUUUAUGUCUUUUACAGGAAUUUAAAGACUGAUUUAUGCAUAAAACAAGAGAAUCAGAAGUAUUAAAUUUAAUCAGUGCUUAUUAUGGCAUGGUCCAUUUAUAUCAGUGUUUUUCUUUUUGAGAGUAUUUCCUUAUUUUCUGAAUCCAUGUAUAAAUAAAAGCUAUUUUCUACUAAAAAAAAACCAUGGUAACAUGGAUCAAUAAAUAAUACAGAUCAAAGCAGAACUAAACAAAAUAGAGAUGAAAAACCAACACAAAGGAUCAACAAAAUGAAAAAUUGGUUCUUUGAAAAUAUAAACAAAACUGCUGGGCGCGAUGGCUCACUCCUGUAAUCCCAGCACUUCGGGAGGCCAAGACGGGUGAAUCACUUGAGGUCAGGAGUUCGAGAUCAGCGUGGCCAAAAUGGUGAAAUCUCAUCUCUACUAGAAAUAAAAAAAGUAGCCAGGCAUGGUGGCGCACGCCUGUAAACUCAGCUACUAGGGAGGCUGAGGCACAAGAAUCGCUUGAACCCAGGAGAUGGAGGUUGCAGUGAGCCAAGAUCACACCACUGCACUCCAGCCUGGGUGACAGUUUUAUAUUUAUAUAUAUAUAUACACACACACACACACAUAUGAACCUGAUAAACCACUAGCUAGACUAACCAAGAAAAGAACAG